GAUGAACGCUGACAGAAUGCUUAACACAUGCAAGUCGAUGGGGAAGUGGUGCUUGCACCAUGGCAACCCUGGCGGACGGGUGAGUAACGCGUAAGGGACUUACCUGCAGGACUGGGAUAACAGGGGGAAACUCCUGACAAGACCGGAUAAUGUCAUGGAGCUGCAUGGCUUUAUGAUGAAAGGAGACGCCUGCGGAGAGCCUUGCGUCCUAUUAGCUAGUUGGUGAGGUAAUGGCUCACCAAGGCGAAGAUAGGUAGCCGGCCUGAGAGGGUGGACGGCCACAAGGGGACUGAGAUACGGCCCUUACUCCUACGGGAGGCAGCAGUGGGGAAUAUUGGACAAUGGGGGCAACCCUGAUCCAGCAAUUCUGUGUGCACGAAGAAGGUUUUCGGAUUGUAAAGUGCUUUCAGCAGGGAAGAAGUAAGUGACGGUACCUGCAGAAGAAGCGACGGCUAAAUACGUG
Molecule: ribosomal RNA, 463 nt
Filed under: uncultured bacterium
Lineage: Bacteria
Description: partial 16S ribosomal RNA
Rfam family: Bacterial small subunit ribosomal RNA
Source: RNAcentral